Molecule: ribosomal RNA, 468 nt
Filed under: uncultured bacterium
Lineage: Bacteria
Description: partial 16S ribosomal RNA
Rfam family: Bacterial small subunit ribosomal RNA
Source: RNAcentral
GACGAACGCUGGCGGCGUGCUUAACACAUGCAAGUCGAACGGAAAGGCCCUGCUUUUGUGGGGUGCUCGAGUGGCGAACGGGUGAGUAACACGUGAGUAACCUGCCCUUGACUGUGGGAUAACUUCAGGAAACUGGGGCUAAUACCGGAUAGGAGCUCCUGCUGCAUGGUGGGGGUUGGAAAGUUUCGGCGGUUGGGGAUGGACUCGCGGCUUAUCAGCUUGUUGGUGGGGUAGUGGCUUACCAAGGCUUUGACGGGUAGCCGGCCUGAGAGGGUGACCGGCGACAAUGGGACUGAGGGACGGCCCAGACUCCUACGGGAGGCAGCAGUGGGGAAUAUGGCACAAUGGGCGGAAGCCUGAGGCAGCAACGCCGCGUGCGUGAUGACGGCCUUCGGGUGGUAAACCGCUGUCGCCUGUGACGAAGCGGGAGUGACGGUAAUGGGUAAAGAAGCACCGGCUAACUACGUG